Molecule: unclassified non-coding RNA, 379 nt
Filed under: uncultured bacterium
Lineage: Bacteria
Description: contains 16S-23S intergenic spacer region
Source: RNAcentral
UCCGAGUUGACCCCGGCAGUCUCCUACGAGUCCCCGGCAUUACGCGCUGGCAACACAGGACAAGGGUUGCGCUCGUUGCGGGACUUAACCCAACACCUCACGGCACGAGCUGACGACAGCCAUGCAGCAUCUGUGCACGCUCCCUUGCGGGUCCUCAGCCUUUCGGCCUCGUACCACGUGCAUGUCAAGCCCAGGUAAGGUUCUUCGCGUUGCGUCGAAUUAAACCACAUGCUCCACCGCUUGUGCAGGCCCCCGUCAAUUUCUUUGAGUUUUAACCUUGCGGCCGUACUCCCCAGGCGGAUAACUUAAUGCGUUAGCUGCGCCACCAAAAGCCCAUGGCCCCUGACAGCUAGUUAUCAUCGUUUACGGCGUGGACUAC